RNAcentral lists this transfer RNA (74 nucleotides) under Myotis brandtii (Brandt's bat). It matches the Rfam family "tRNA". Rfam says of the family: Transfer RNA (tRNA) molecules are approximately 80 nucleotides in length. The record is from Rfam by way of RNAcentral. Lineage: Eukaryota; Metazoa; Chordata; Mammalia; Chiroptera; Vespertilionidae.
GCCCUUGUGACUCAGUUGGUUGAGUGUUGACCUGUGUACCAGGAGGUUGCUGGUUCGAUUCCCAGUCAAGGGCA